UACUAACUGUGGAUCUAUCAGGGAGCUUUUUUAGUAAGCCUUUCAUUUCCUCUGUGCUGAGAGGAGUGUACUUAUAAGUAUUAUGAGCCACUCUGUCAUCUGCUGGCCCGGACCACUGUGUGGUUACUUGGAGAGGGGCAAGGGGAGCGCUGGCACUUAAGUCUGGGUUGAAAAGAGGAGGAGGCCAAUUAUCUCAGUUCUCCCCCGUGUGUGCCACAUUCCAAUCUUGGAUUUGUUUUUU
Gopherus evgoodei (Goodes thornscrub tortoise) is the source of this 241-nucleotide long non-coding RNA. RefSeq lists it as uncharacterized. Lineage: Eukaryota; Metazoa; Chordata; Testudines; Testudinidae. The record is from RefSeq and is a predicted model, not a curated record. The transcript has 3 exons.